RNAcentral lists this ribosomal RNA (494 nucleotides) under uncultured bacterium. Its description in RNAcentral is "partial 16S ribosomal RNA". It matches the Rfam family "Bacterial small subunit ribosomal RNA", at positions 28 to 507 of the family's 1533-position model. The record is from RNAcentral.
GACGAACGCUGGCGGCGUGCUUAACACAUGCAAGUCGAACGGAAAGGCCUGCUUUCCCUUGUGGAUUGCGGGUACUCGAGUGACGAACGGGUGAGUAACACGUGAGUGAUCUGCCCCCAACUUGGGUAUAAGCCUGGGAAACUGGGUCUAAUUCCCGAUAGGACUGCAGGGUGGUGCCUGUGGUGGAAAACGAUUUUCUAGUGGUUGGGGAUGAGCUCGCGGCCUAUCAGCUUGUUGGUGGGGUAAUGGCCUACCAAGGCGGCGACGGGUAGCCGGCCUGAGAGGGUGGACGGCCACAUUGGGACUGAGAUACGGCCCAGACUCCUACGGGAGGCAGCAGUGGGGAAUAUUGCACAAUGGGCGGAAGCCUGAGGCAGCGACGCCGCGUGGGGGAUGACGGCCUUCGGGUUGUAAACUCCUUUCGACCGCGAGGAAGCCACCUGGUUGGAAGGGUGGUGACGGUAGUGGUAGAAGAAGCACCGGCUAACUACGUG